GGAAGGCCUUUGGGUUGUAAACCUCUUUUCUCAGGGAAGAAGAUCUGACGGUAACUGAGGAAUAAGCAUCGGCUAACUCCGUGCCAGCAGCCGCGGUAAUACGGAGGAUGCAAGCGUUAUCCGGAAUUAUUGGGCGUAAAGCGUCCGCAGGUGGUCUUUCAAGUCUGCUGUCAAAGACCAGAGCUUAACUCUGGGCAGGCGGUGGAUACUGAGAGACUAGAGUUCGGUAGGGGUAGCGGGAAUUCCCAGUGUAGCGGUGAAAUGCGUAGAUAUUGGGAAGAACAUCGGUGGAGAAGGCGUGUACUGGACCGAAACUGACACUCGGGACGAAAGCUAGGUAGC
Molecule: ribosomal RNA, 342 nt
Filed under: uncultured cyanobacterium
Lineage: Bacteria; Bacillati; Cyanobacteriota
Description: bacterial SSU rRNA
Rfam family: Bacterial small subunit ribosomal RNA
Source: RNAcentral